UACGUAGGGGGCUAGCGUUGUCCGGAAUCAUUGGGCGUAAAGCGCGUGUAGGCGGUCCGGUAAGUCCGCUGUGAAAGUCGGGGGCUCAACCCUCGAAUGCCGGUGGAUACUGUCAGACUAGAGUACGGAAGAGGCGAGUGGAAUUCCUGGUGUAGCGGUGAAAUGCGCAGAUAUCAGGAGGAACACCCAUUGCGAAGGCAGCUCGCUGGGACGUUACUGACGCUGAGACGCGAAAGCGUGGGGAUCAAACAGG
RNAcentral lists this ribosomal RNA (253 nucleotides) under uncultured bacterium. Its description in RNAcentral is "partial 16S ribosomal RNA". It matches the Rfam family "Bacterial small subunit ribosomal RNA", at positions 524 to 776 of the family's 1533-position model. The record is from RNAcentral.